RNAcentral lists this ribosomal RNA (492 nucleotides) under uncultured bacterium. RNAcentral's name for it is "partial 16S ribosomal RNA". It matches the Rfam family "Bacterial small subunit ribosomal RNA", at positions 29 to 507 of the family's 1533-position model. The record is from RNAcentral.
AGUGAACGCUGGCGGUAGGCCUAACACAUGCAAGUCGAACGGCAGCACAGUAAGAGCUUGCUCUUACGGGUGGCGAGUGGCGGACGGGUGAGGAAUACAUCGGAAUCUACUUUUUCGUGGGGGAUAACGUAGGGAAACUUACGCUAAUACCGCAUACGACCUACGGGUGAAAGCAGUGGAUCUUCGGACCUUGCGCGAUUGAAUGAGCCGAUGUCGGAUUAGCUAGUUGGCGGGGUAAAGGCCCACCAAGGCGACGAUCCGUAGCUGGUCUGAGAGGAUGAUCAGCCACACUGGAACUGAGAAACGGUCCAGACUCCUACGGGAGGCAGCAGUGGGGAAUAUUGGACAAUGGGCGCAAGCCUGAUCCAGCCAUACCGCGUGGGUGAAGAAGGCCUUCGGGUUGUAAAGCCCUUUUGUUGGGAAAGAAAAGCAGCAGGUUAAUACCCCGCUGUUCUGACGGUACCCAAAGAAUAAGCACCGGCUAACUUCGUG